RNAcentral lists this ribosomal RNA (406 nucleotides) under uncultured bacterium. RNAcentral's name for it is "partial 16S ribosomal RNA". It matches the Rfam family "Bacterial small subunit ribosomal RNA", at positions 28 to 526 of the family's 1533-position model. The record is from RNAcentral.
GAUGAACGCUAGCUACAGGCUUAACACAUGCAAGUCGAGGGACCGGCGCGCGGGUGAGUAACACGUAUCCCACCUGCCCUUUACUCGGGGAUAGCCUUUCGACAGAAAGAUUAAUACCCGAUAUAAAGGAUGGGGAUGCGUUCCAUUAGGUUGUUGGUGAGGUAACGGCCCACCAAGCCUUCGAUGGAUAGGGGUGCUGAGAGGAAGGUCCCCCACAUUGGAACUGAGACCCGGUCCAAACUCCUACGGGAGGCAGCAGUGAGGAAUAUUGGGCAAUGGGCGUUAGCCUGAACCAGCCAAGUAGCGUGAAGGAUGAAGGCUUAUGGGUCGUAAACUUCUUUUAUAUAAGAAUAGGUAUUAUAUGAAUAAGGAUCGGCUAACUCCGUGCCAGCAGCCGCGGUAAUUC